RNAcentral lists this small RNA (29 nucleotides) under Bombyx mori (domestic silkworm). RNAcentral's name for it is "ovarian small RNA-7124". The record is from RNAcentral. Lineage: Eukaryota; Metazoa; Arthropoda; Insecta; Lepidoptera; Bombycidae.
UCCAAAACGCAACGAUAUUCGUGAAACAC